RNAcentral lists this ribosomal RNA (433 nucleotides) under uncultured bacterium. RNAcentral describes it as "partial 16S ribosomal RNA". It matches the Rfam family "Bacterial small subunit ribosomal RNA", at positions 29 to 507 of the family's 1533-position model. The record is from RNAcentral.
AACGAACGCUGGCGGCAGGCCUAACACAUGCAAGUCGAGCGAGGACUUCGGUUCUAGCGGCGGACGGGUGAGUAACGCGUGGGAAUGUGCCCUUCUCUACGGAAUAGCCCUGGGAAACUGGGAGUAAUACCGUAUACGCCCUAUUGGGGAAAGAUUUAUCGGAGAAGGAUCAGCCCGCGUUGGAUUAGGUAGUUGGUGGGGUAAUGGCCUACCAAGCCGACGAUCCAUAGCUGGUGUGAGAGGAUGAUCAGCCACACUGGGACUGAGACACGGCCCAGACCCCUACGGGAGGCAGCAGUGGGGAAUCUUAGACAAUGGGGGCAACCCUGAUCUAGCCAUGCCGCGUGAGUGAUGAAGGCCUUAGGGUUGUAAAGCUCUUUCAGCUGGGAAGAUAAUGACGGUACCAGCAGAAGAAGCCCCGGCUAACUCCGUG